GACGAACGCUGGCGGCGUGCCUAAUACAUGCAAGUAGAACGCUGAAGAGAGGAGCUUGCUCUUCUUGGAUGAGUUGCGCACGGGUGAGUAACGCGUAGGUAACCUGCCUGGUAGCGGGGGAUAACUGGGGGAAACGGUAGCUAAUACCGCAUAAAAUGGAUUAUCGCAUGAUAAUCCAUUGAAAGGUGCAAAUGCAUCACUACCAGAUGGACCUGCGUUGUAUUAGCGAGUUGGUGGGGUAACGGCGCACCAAGGCGACGAUACAUAGCGGCCCGGAGAGGGUGGUCGGCCACACUGGGACGGAGACACGGCCCAGACUCCUACGGGAGGCAGCCGUAGGGAAUCUUCGGCAAUGGAUGGAAGUCUGACCGAGCAACGCCGCGGGAGUGUAGAAGGUUGUCGGAUCGUAAAGCUCUGUUGUAAGAGAAGAACGAGUGUGAGACUGGAAAGUUCACACUGUGACGGUAUCUUACCAGAAAGGGACGGCUAACUACGUG
RNAcentral lists this ribosomal RNA (497 nucleotides) under uncultured bacterium. Its description in RNAcentral is "partial 16S ribosomal RNA". It matches the Rfam family "Bacterial small subunit ribosomal RNA", at positions 28 to 507 of the family's 1533-position model. The record is from RNAcentral.